CCGGCCAGCUGGUACCCCGUCGUCGCGCUCGACCUAAACAGGAUAUGGUUAAACAUUUGUCGUGGACAGCUUCAUGGCUUUGUACAAAGACAAGUAUCACAUCGGCCGCAUUCAGAUAUGUAGAUACUAAGCAAAACUCUUGAUGCAAACAAGGACCCGUUCAGGAGGGGUGACAACCUCCAUGUAAGUCGUCGCUACUUUUUAUCUUCCAUAAUUCUUUCAAACUUUUUAUGCACCAAAGAUGCUGGAUGAAAUAAAGUAGGAAAAGUAAGAUGCAGAUGGGUCUUUGAAAAAAAUCACAGGAAAACAUUGUUUCUGGGCACCGCUAAAUUUUAAAAAUAAAAAACUGAAUUUUGUGGCUUAAUUUUAAAAAUGAAAACUGGAUUUUGUGGCUGUUUGAUGUGCUUGGACAUAUGUGUGAUCUGGUGGACAAAAUAACCAGGUGUUUGCACCUGUGUAAACACCCUAAAAUUCCACUAGUUGACCUACUUGGCUCAUAAUUAAUUGCUUAUGAGACUGUAUCUUCAGAGAAACAACUUGGCCUUUUAGACAACUGUUUCACUAACACAAAUCUUAAAUACUUGAACUGAGAAAAAAAAAAGCUUCAACUAAAUCAGAGGCCAAGUUUCUACUGUAUUUGGCGCAAAGUCGUUGGUUUGUUGAUAUUUUCCUAUUUAAUACUCCUUGGUUAUGUGCGACUGCUACACACCACAAGGCGUUCCAAUCCCCACCAACAAUAGUGCUCCUGUGUCUAAAUACACAUACACACGUGAGAACAUAAUAAGUUGUACAAUAUAAAUUAGUACCACACUGCACUCACUUUGCAUCAGAUGGAAAUGAGUUAGGAAGAUAGGAGUGAAAUGCUACAUAAACUUACACAAAAACUGAACAUUGCAUUUCACCAAGUGAAAUUCUACAUUUUUACUACUAACCCAUUCUCUCUUUCUUAGUGGUUUUGUUAUGUAGGUUGGAAGAAAAGAAGAAGAUCCAGAGAAGAUCUUUGUAAUAAGAUAGUUUUUAGGAAAAUAGAUAUUUAGUUUUAGGUCAUUUCUUGUAAUUUCAGAUAUGGAGUGCUUGUCUUUAGUUUUUGUUUUGA
Molecule: long non-coding RNA, 1096 nt
Organism: Triticum dicoccoides
Lineage: Eukaryota; Viridiplantae; Streptophyta; Magnoliopsida; Poales; Poaceae
Exons: 3
Source: RefSeq, a predicted model, not a curated record